This 702-nucleotide ribosomal RNA is filed under the name uncultured bacterium. Its description in RNAcentral is "bacterial SSU rRNA". It matches the Rfam family "Bacterial small subunit ribosomal RNA", at positions 9 to 715 of the family's 1533-position model. The record is from RNAcentral.
GAGUUUGAUCAUGGCUCAGGAUGAACGCUAGCGGCAGGCUUAACACAUGCAAGUCGAGGGGUAUUCUAGCAAUAGGAGAGACCGGCGCACGGGUGCGUAACGCGUAUGCAAUCUACCUUUCACAGAGGGAUAGCCCAGAGAAAUUUGGAUUAAUACCUCAUAGUAUAAUGACUCGGCAUCGAGAUAUUAUUAAAGUCACAACGGUGAAAGAUGAGCAUGCGUCCCAUUAGCUAGUUGGUAAGGUAACGGCUUACCAAGGCGACGAUGGGUAGGGGUCCUGAGAGGGAGAUCCCCCACACUGGUACUGAGACACGGACCAGACUCCUACGGGAGGCAGCAGUGAGGAAUAUUGGACAAUGGGCGCAAGCCUGAUCCAGCCAUGCCGCGUGCAGGAUGACGGUCCUAUGGAUUGUAAACUGCUUUUGCACAGGAAGAAACACCCCCUCGUGAGGGGGCUUGACGGUACUGUGAGAAUAAGGAUCGGCUAACUCCGUGCCAGCAGCCGCGGUAAUACGGAGGAUCCAAGCGUUAUCCGGAAUCAUUGGGUUUAAAGGGUCCGUAGGCGGUUUAGUAAGUCAGUGGUGAAAGCCCAUCGCUCAACGGUGGAACGGCCAUUGAUACUGCUAGACUUGAAUUAUUAGGAAGUAACUAGAAUAUGUAGUGUAGCGGUGAAAUGCUUAGAGAUACAUGGAAUACCAUUGC